This 253-nucleotide ribosomal RNA is filed under the name uncultured bacterium. RNAcentral describes it as "partial 16S ribosomal RNA". It matches the Rfam family "Bacterial small subunit ribosomal RNA", at positions 524 to 776 of the family's 1533-position model. The record is from RNAcentral.
UACGUAGGGACCAAGCGUUGUUCGGAUUUACUGGGCGUAAAGGGCGCGUAGGCGGCAUGACAAGUCACUUGUGAAAUCUCCGGGCUUAACUCGGAACGGUCAAGUGAUACUGUCGCGCUAGAGUGCGGAAGGGGCAAUCAGAAUUCUUGGUGUAGCGGUGAAAUGCGUAGAUAUCGAGAGGAACACCAGUGGCGAAGGCGAGUCCCUGGACAACUCCUGACACUGAGGCACGAAAGCUAGGGGAGCAAACAGG